Saccostrea echinata is the source of this 318-nucleotide long non-coding RNA. RefSeq lists it as uncharacterized. The record is from RefSeq and is a predicted model, not a curated record. Lineage: Eukaryota; Metazoa; Mollusca; Bivalvia; Ostreida; Ostreidae. The transcript is spliced from 3 exons.
AACUACUAUUUUUACCUUCUUGGUACUCCUUAGCGUCAUCUCAGCAAUCCAAAUAGAGUUUGAGGAUGGAAACCUGAUUUUUGAUUGGACACAAACAUCAACUUCAAACCACACCUAUGACGUCAUUAUUACCUGUGGCGGAGAAGCUAGCAAAAGAAUUGUUAACAGUAAAAUAUUCGUCGUCCAUGAUUUACUUAAUUUUUCUUCCGUUUCAAUCAGCAUUAGAGAAGACAAUAACGGGGUAUCGAAAUUCUACAACAGAACCUUCAAAGUCUAUUUAUUCUCCACAACAACCAGUAAAGACAAAUCUGUUUCCUG